GUGACGUAAGACACAACAUUUAAGAUAUCACAAACAGAUCAUAACAAGAAACAUUUGGAUGCGGUAGUAGCACAAGAAGAUUUGGCCAUGGCUUCAACAAAAAAAGUCAAAUCUGCCCCCCAUGAUUGAUAGCUGAUUUAUGGAAAAGGAUCUCAACAACGUCUUUACUUUUGAAUUUGAAAAGCCCAAAUUUGGGCAUUGGGACAGGAAAGAAGAAAUCAGCAAUGUGCAAGGUGGAAAAGGAAGUGAAUGGUGAGCUCAAACCAUGUAUCUUCAAGACAAGUGAAGCAAGUGCCAUGAAAAGUUUCAAUCUUUGGCAGCAUGUGAAACGUAACCAUCCUGAAAACUAUGCGGCUCUGGUUACAAAAAAAGGAUCAGGAAGAUGAGGCAAAACAGAAAGCUGAUGCAGCUAAACAAUGUUCAUCUGGCUCUUUGAGAAAAGAUCUUUUGCAGAGCUUCAUCUGAAAAGAAACCCAAAAUUGAGCAAACAAAACAUGACUCAUAUUUGAAGUCCUCAAAGGUUACAGUCACCAUGGAUGCCAAUACUUUCUGUGAAGGGCUGAUUGAAAUGGUUUGCUUGAGUUCAACACCGCUCACUACCUUCAGGCUAAAGAACAAAGGAUUCCAAAAAAUUGCAGGUGAAAUGGGUCGGCAGCUUGGUGUUUUGAUGGGCAUGAUGCAGUUUGUCAUUUAGUUGUCGGCACAUCUGAGUCUGGUUGCGAAGAGCUCAAGAAAGCUUUGGAGCAAAAAUUGUGCUACCUGAAAAUGGAUGUGGCAACCCAUGGAAACAGACAUUUCCUUGCAAUCAAUCCUCAGCACUAUGAAGACGGAAAAGAUAAAGCUGUGGUAAAAACCUUGGACAUAAUCAACACUGAAGGGCAUCACAAUUCUUUGUACGUGAAAAGUCAAGUAAAAGCUAUUUUAGAAAAAAUUGGGAUCAGUGAAAUGCAAGUGCUGAGCAUCUGCAUUAACAAUGCAGAAGACAUGACCUGUGUCUUCAAAAUUUUUUCAGCGAGGACAAUGAAACCAUUUCUACCUCUGAGAAUAGGGAUGUGGACAGAACUUAAGGUAUUUUGCCUGAUGAAGGAACUAAAGGAAUGGAUGAAGUCGAACUCAACAUGGAUGCUGCUGCGCAAUGAGUUAAUGACCCUAGCCUCAUACUUCCAACAUGGCUUCAUAAGGAUGACUCAAAGUCCAACUGAUGAUGUGUGGUAUUCACACUCUUCAGUUGGCAAUCUGUAAUGGACUGAACAAAGAACAUGUGAAGAAAUUUCUAGGAAAAAUUCGACAAGUCAUUGUCAAACUACGAACUCCAAGGAUUCAAGCUACAUGGGGUAACUCAAUCAUUGGAUUCUGUGACUCGCUGAGGUUCAAUAUUUGCGAUGAUUGAUCGGCUUCUCAUUUUUCAAUCUUACUGUGAACAAGUGGCUGCUGCUGG
Gopherus evgoodei (Goodes thornscrub tortoise) is the source of this 1438-nucleotide long non-coding RNA. RefSeq lists it as uncharacterized. The record is from RefSeq and is a predicted model, not a curated record. NCBI's taxonomy places the organism in Eukaryota, Metazoa, Chordata, Testudines, Testudinidae. The transcript is spliced from 2 exons.